Molecule: long non-coding RNA, 1698 nt
Organism: Acanthopagrus latus (yellowfin seabream)
Lineage: Eukaryota; Metazoa; Chordata; Actinopteri; Spariformes; Sparidae
Exons: 3
Source: RefSeq, a predicted model, not a curated record
UCUAUGUGACAGGGUACCAGACUUAGCCAAAGUCUCAUUUAUGUCAAGAAAAUAACAACAUCAUAGUAAAAAAAUACUCACAGGACCACGCAUAGUUACUGCAACAACAACAACAACAACAACAACAACAACAACAACAACAACAACAACAGCAACAGAAGCAGCAACAACAACAUGAUUUGAAAACAAUAAAACAUGACAACAGUAACAACUAGAGAUCAUAAGAUUAAGUGUUUUCAUCUACAUGUCAUUGCUCUGGUUUUCUAGACCACAAAAAGGCUGGAAUCCAAAAGGUAUUUGGGAGCUGGUCCCAGUCAUGCUUUAAAAUGUCAGCCAGUAAAAUGCUUAACCGUAAGUAAAACUAGCAUGAAGAUUUCCCUCAUCCUGGAUCACUCUCAUGGUAGGUUUUUGUUCUGAAGUCUAUCGUUGUGGUAAGAUGACAAGAUGUUACAAAUGUAUAAUUGAGCAGUUCACAGAUUCGCGAUGUGAGGGUAAAUUAUCAGGUUUUUGAAUCUUUAGUCACAUGCACUUGUUUCUUUGUCAUGUGGUGGGUCACUGAAGCAUACUAAAAUAAUCAAAAGACGAAUUGAUAUCUGCAUGAAAAAGAAUGUCAGUUGUGUCUCAGCUUUUCUGUGAACCAGAGGCAAGACAGACAUAAAACAGCAGUGGUCCCAGUACAGAACCAUGGGGAACUCCACUGACCUGAGCCACUGCUGAUGAACUUUAAUCCUCACUAAGAACAAAAUGAUAUUUUACAGAAUGAAUUCAAUAAUGACCCUAGAAUUCCACCUACUGUUUUUCCAGUACCAGCGCGCCACUUCAAAGACAAUCCAGAGUAUGUUUUUUAUGUGUGGUUCUAGAAUUGUGUGACACAUAUGAACACACUCUCCAGUCUUCACACUAAUCUGAGCUAAGAAAAAGAUAAACUAGCCAGCUGCAACAUAUCUAUUAUAUAUAUAUGCGUAUGUAUAAUGUAUAUAAUCCCACUUUAUUCUUAAUAAGAAGGCAAAUUGAUGUAUUUCCCCAAAUGUUGAACAAUUCCAUUAACACUCUGACACUGUUAGUGUCAAGUAUUAACUGUUCUGGAAUGAAAUACAACAUUUAGAUUUGCUUUUCAGGCUUGGGUUUGGAACACUGCACAGAAUUGUACAAAUGCAAGUAAUCUCUCUCUCUCCUGGCUGUCACCGCCUGUCGACCUGCUGCCAUGCCGUAAUACGCGGACUGCUCCUUUAUCUCUUGCAUCACCGUCACCAUCACUGUUAUGAUUUCUGUGCGUGUAUGUGUGUGUGUGUGUGUGUAUGUGAUAUUGCAUAACUUAGGCGUGAUAGAUAACCCACUCAGCAGCAGUAGUGAAAUAUGUGAGCAGUGGAUUUUUAUCAUCCCGGGCGUCAAGAGGAAACUUUACGUUCAGACGCACAGACAGUCCUGCUGCUGACACAGGUUGCAGCCUGCAAAUCAAAGUGGUGGGAUUAAAAACGAAAUGAAGUGUCACUUCAUGUUAGGUCCUUUGCAGCUGUAUCAGCCAACAUAGUUUACAGAAGACAACAAAAAGACGCCAUUUUCUAAUAAGGAACCUUUCAUGAGAGACUGAUUACUGAUUAGUAAUAAAUCAUAAAGAGAGCAGCUGUUGCACUGUAAAACUCUCCACGACUACAGAAUCCAUUAACGGUAGUUGCUUAACCAGAAGCAUCAGCACAC